AACCGGGCUGACCCAGUGCUGAGAGCGGUGAUAAUGGAUAGAUCGUAAAGACGCUGCAAGUACGUCCCUGUAAGCUCGAGCCGCGCCAUCCUUGGCGCGGACGCUUU
RNAcentral lists this non-coding RNA (107 nucleotides) under Pectobacterium atrosepticum SCRI1043. RNAcentral's name for it is "Yersinia sRNA 224". It matches the Rfam family "Yersinia sRNA 224". The record is from Rfam by way of RNAcentral. Lineage: Bacteria; Pseudomonadati; Pseudomonadota; Gammaproteobacteria; Enterobacterales; Pectobacteriaceae.